This 734-nucleotide ribosomal RNA is filed under the name uncultured bacterium. Its description in RNAcentral is "bacterial SSU rRNA". It matches the Rfam family "Bacterial small subunit ribosomal RNA", at positions 28 to 775 of the family's 1533-position model. The record is from RNAcentral.
GACGAACGCUGGCGGCGCGCCUAACACAUGCAAGUCGAACGAGCGAGAGAGAGCUUGCUUUCUCAAGCGAGUGGCGAACGGGUGAGUAACGCGUGAGGAACCUGCCUCAAAGAGGGGGACAACAGUUGGAAACGACUGCUAAUACCGCAUAAGCCCACGGCUCGGCAUCGAGCAGAGGGAAAAGGAGCAAUCCGCUUUGAGAUGGCCUCGCGUCCGAUUAGCUAGUUGGUGAGGUAACGGCCCACCAAGGCGACGAUCGGUAGCCGGACUGAGAGGUUGAACGGCCACAUUGGGACUGAGACACGGCCCAGACUCCUACGGGAGGCAGCAGUGGGGAAUAUUGCACAAUGGGGGAAACCCUGAUGCAGCGACGCCGCGUGGAGGAAGAAGGUCUUCGGAUUGUAAACUCCUGUUGUUGAGGAAGAUAAUGACGGUACUCAACAAGGAAGUGACGGCUAACUACGUGCCAGCAGCCGCGGUAAAACGUAGGUCACAAGCGUUGUCCGGAAUUACUGGGUGUAAAGGGAGCGCAGGCGGGAAGACAAGUUGGAAGUGAAAUCCAUGGGCUCAACCCAUGAACUGCUUUCAAAACUGUUUUUCUUGAGUAGUGCAGAGGUAGGCGGAAUUCCCGGUGUAGCGGUGGAAUGCGUAGAUAUCGGGAGGAACACCAGUGGCGAAGGCGGCCUACUGGGCACCAACUGACGCUGAGGCUCGAAAGUGUGGGUAGCAAACAG